AUGCGUGAUCAGGUCGGCAUCGACCAGGACGGCUUCCCCCUCGACCAUGAGUUCUCGGACGACUAUGGGCUAGAGGAAGAGGAUGAGUGCGACGUCGAAGUGGAGUCUUUGUUCGAGGAUGAGCUCACCAACCAAACCGCCGGUCCUAAGCCGAAGCGCAAGAGCAAGCGCACGAAGGCGUACACAGCUGCUGAGGACAAGCUUCUUUGCGAGUGUUGGCGAGACAUUGGACAAGACCCAAAGACGAGCUCCGAGCAAAAGCAUUCAACCUUUUGGACUCGUGUGCACCACGAGUUUCAUGAGUGCAAGAAGUUUCCACCCUACCUGUGA
Molecule: ribosomal RNA, 330 nt
Filed under: Triticum aestivum (bread wheat)
Lineage: Eukaryota; Viridiplantae; Streptophyta; Magnoliopsida; Poales; Poaceae
Description: partial small subunit ribosomal RNA
Source: RNAcentral